This is a long non-coding RNA of Papaver somniferum (opium poppy), 765 nucleotides long. RefSeq lists it as uncharacterized. The transcript is spliced from 2 exons. Lineage: Eukaryota; Viridiplantae; Streptophyta; Magnoliopsida; Ranunculales; Papaveraceae. The record is from RefSeq and is a predicted model, not a curated record.
UCUAUGCUGAUGUUCAUCACUCCUAAGACUGACUUCCAAAUAAAAAUACGAUUACGGAAGCAUGAUAAUGUUUUUAUUUUUGAUUUUAGUGUGUCCCAAUUUAAAUUAGCUUGGUGGACAUCUUUUAAUAUUAUUGUAAUACUUUCUUCUCUUUCAGUGGUUAUUAUGGAGUCAAAUAAGUGAAUCGGGAAAGCCAAAGCUGUAUGAUCAUCGACCUCUUCCUUUGAGUGAAGAUGAUAUAGGGUUAGCAAGAUUCCGAAACGAAAGCCUUGAGGAUCAGUUCUUAAGUCCCGUGUGAAAUGGCUGUAAUUGGUUUACACGAUCACCACAUGAUUUCCAUUACGAAGAUAAUCUGGAUAAGGGAGAUGAAGUUAUUUAUAUUGGUCAAGGUGAAGUUACGAAGAUAAUCUGGAUAAUUUUGUCAACAAAUCCAUAACCAAGUGAUGAAGCGUGAAAAUAGCUUAAAAAUCUUGCAAACUUUUGUAAAAUUAUAAGGUCUUUUCCUUGUAAGUUUUCCCGUGGCGCAAUGAUUUUUCCUCUAGUAGUCGUAAAUUUAAUGUCCGUGUAAAUGUUAAGUGCCUUAUAUGAUGUUGGGUAAUGGCCUUUGUAAAACCACAAAGGGAUGGUGAAAUCAAUGACUGGAAUUGGUUUGGUUUUAUUGCAGCAAUUUAUUUUAAUUCACACUCAAUUAUUUAAUCUUUAAUUUCUUUUGUAUGAGAAUCUCAUCCCUGAGUAGUCAGCAGAUAUUGUAAUUUCUUUGUCCAA